This 1000-nucleotide ribosomal RNA is filed under the name Shewanella algae. RNAcentral's name for it is "bacterial SSU rRNA". It matches the Rfam family "Bacterial small subunit ribosomal RNA", at positions 78 to 1045 of the family's 1533-position model. Lineage: Bacteria; Pseudomonadati; Pseudomonadota; Gammaproteobacteria; Alteromonadales; Shewanellaceae. The record is from RNAcentral.
UGNNGGGCCNGGGGAACAUNUUCCAAAACGCUUGGCUUUUGACGAUGACGAGCGGCGGACGGGUGAGUAAUGCCUGGGAAUUUGCCCAUUUGUGGGGGAUAACAGUUGGAAACGACUGCUAAUACCGCAUACGCCCUACGGGGGAAAGCAGGGGAACUUCGGKCCUUGCGCUGAUGGAUAAGCCCAGGUGGGAUUAGCUAGUAGGUGAGGUAAUGGCUCACCUAGGCAACGAUCCCUAGCUGGUCUGAGAGGAUGAUCAGCCACACUGGGACUGAGACACGGCCCAGACUCCUACGGGAGGCAGCAGUGGGGAAUAUUGCACAAUGGGGGAAACCCUGAUGCAGCCAUGCCGCGUGUGUGAAGAAGGCCUUCGGGUUGUAAAGCACUUUCAGCGAGGAGGAAAGGGUGUAAGUUAAUACCUUACAUCUGUGACGUUACUCGCAGAAGAAGCACCGGCUAACUCCGUGCCAGCAGCCGCGGUAAUACGGAGGGUGCGAGCGUUAAUCGGAAUUACUGGGCGUAAAGCGUGCGCAGGCGGUUUGUUAAGCGAGAUGUGAAAGCCCCGGGCUCAACCUGGGAACCGCAUUUCGAACUGGCAAACUAGAGUCUUGUAGAGGGGGGUAGAAUUCCAGGUGUAGCGGUGAAAUGCGUAGAGAUCUGGAGGAAUACCGGUGGCGAAGGCGGCCCCCUGGACAAAGACUGACGCUCAGGCACGAAAGCGUGGGGAGCAAACAGGAUUAGAUACCCUGGUAGUCCACGCCGUAACGAUGUCUACUCGGAGUUUGGUGUCUUGAACACUGGGCUCUCAGCUAACGCAUUAAGUAGACCGCCUGGGGAGUACGGCCGCAGGGUUAAACUCAAAUGAAUUGACGGGGCCCGCACAAGCGGUGGAGCAUGUGGUUUAAUUCGAUGCAACGCGAGAACCUUACCUACUCUUGACAUCCAGAGAACUUUCCAGAGAUGGAUUGGUGCCUUCGGGAACUCUGAGACAGGUGCUGCA